CGAUGGCGACCGGCGCACGGGUGAGUAACGCGUAUGCAACCUGCCUGAUACCGGGGUAUAGCCCAUGGAAACGUGGAUUAACACCCCAUAGUACUUUUAUCCUGCCUGGGAUGGGAGUUAAAUGUUCAAGGUAUCGGAUGGGCAUGCGUCCUAUUAGUUAGUUGGCGGGGUAACAGCCCACCAAGACGAUGAUAGGUAGGGGUUCUGAGAGGAAGGUCCCCCACAUUGGAACUGAGACACGGUCCAA
Molecule: ribosomal RNA, 247 nt
Filed under: uncultured bacterium
Lineage: Bacteria
Description: partial 16S ribosomal RNA
Rfam family: Bacterial small subunit ribosomal RNA
Source: RNAcentral